UAGCGGCAGGCCUAAUACAUGCAAGUCGAACGAUAGAAGAGUGCUUGCAUUCUUCGAAAGUGGCGCACGGGUGCGUAACGCGUAUGCAACCUACCUUAAUCAGGGGGAUAGCCCGAAGAAAUUCGGAUUAACACCGCAUAAAAUCACAGUACAGCAUUGUACAAUGAUCAAAUAUUUAUAGGAUUAAGAUGGGCAUGCGUGACAUUAGUUAGUUGGCGGGGUAACGGCCCACCAAGACCACGAUGUCUAGGGGAUCUGAGAGGAUGACCCCCCACACUGGUACUGAGACACGGACCAGACUCCUACGGGAGGCAGCAGUAAGGAAUAUUGGUCAAUGGAGGCAACUCUGAACCAGCCAUGCCGCGUGCAGGAAGACAGCCCUCUGGGUCGUAAACUGCUUUUAUUCGGGAAUAAACCUCAUUACGUGUAAUGAGCUGAAUGUACCGAAGGAAUAAGGAUCGGCUAACUCCGUGCCAGCAGCCGCGGUAAUACGGAGGAUCCAAGCGUUAUCCGGAUUUAUUGGGUUUAAAGGGUGCGUAGGCGGCUUUUUAAGUCAGGGGUGAAAGACGGUAGCUCAACUAUCGCAGUGCCUUUGAUACUGAAGAGCUUGAAUGGACUAGAGGUAGGCGGAAUGUGACAAGUAGCGGUGAAAUGCAUAGAUAUGUCACAGAACACCGAUUGCGAAGGCAGCUUACUAUGGUUUAAUUGACGCUGAGGCACGAAAGCGUGGGGAUCAAACAGGAUUAGAUACCCUGGUAGUCCACGCCCUAAACGAUGAAUACUCGCUGUUAGCGAUACACAGUUAGCGGCUAAGCGAAAGCGUUAAGUAUUCCACCUGGGGAGUACGGUCGCAAGAUUGAAACUCAAAGGAAUUGACGGGGGGCCCGCACAGCGGAGGAGCAUGUGGUUUAAUUCGAUGAUACGCGAGGAANCUUACCCGGGCUUGAAAGUUAGUGAAUC
This 960-nucleotide ribosomal RNA is filed under the name uncultured Bacteroidota bacterium. RNAcentral describes it as "bacterial SSU rRNA". It matches the Rfam family "Bacterial small subunit ribosomal RNA", at positions 37 to 997 of the family's 1533-position model. Lineage: Bacteria; Pseudomonadati; Bacteroidota. The record is from RNAcentral.